Euleptes europaea (tarantolino) is the source of this 75-nucleotide non-coding RNA. NCBI's taxonomy places the organism in Eukaryota, Metazoa, Chordata, Lepidosauria, Squamata, Sphaerodactylidae. The record is from the annotation of a RefSeq genome assembly.
GGAGUCGUCAUAGCUCAGUGGUAGAGCAUCUGCUUCGCAUGCAGAAAGUCCCAGGUUCAAUCCCUGGCAUCUCCA